GAUGAACGCUGGCGGCGUGCCUAAUACAUGCAAGUCGAGCGAACAGACGAGGAGCUUGCUCCUUUGACGUUAGCGGCGGACGGGUGAGUAACACGUGGGUAACCUACCUAUAAGACUGGGAUAACUUCGGGAAACCGGAGCUAAUACCGGAUAAUAUUUCGAACCGCAUGGUUCGAUAGUGAAAGAUGGCUUUGCUAUCACUUAUAGAUGGACCUGCGCCGUAUUAACUAGUUGGUAAGGUAACGGCUUACCAAGGCAACGAUACGUAGCCGACCUGAGAGGGUGAUCGGCCACACUGGAACUGAGACACGGUCCAGACUCCUACGGGAGGCAGCAGUAGGGAAUCUUCCGCAAUGGGCGAAAGCCUGACGGAGCAACGCCGCGUGAGUGAUGAAGGUCUUCGGAUCGUAAAACUCUGUUAUUAGGGAAGAACAAACGUGUAAGUAACUGUGCACGUCUUGACGGUACCUAAUCAGAAAGCCACGGCUAACUACGUG
RNAcentral lists this ribosomal RNA (497 nucleotides) under uncultured bacterium. Its description in RNAcentral is "partial 16S ribosomal RNA". It matches the Rfam family "Bacterial small subunit ribosomal RNA", at positions 28 to 507 of the family's 1533-position model. The record is from RNAcentral.